This 242-nucleotide unclassified non-coding RNA is filed under the name Hevea brasiliensis (rubber tree). The record is from RNAcentral. Lineage: Eukaryota; Viridiplantae; Streptophyta; Magnoliopsida; Malpighiales; Euphorbiaceae.
GAUACAAGAUUCAGAUUGUUUUUUCAUCACUGAUAUGCAUUCUGCGAGACUGCGACCAUCUUUUUCUACAUAAGCUAUUAAUCUUGAUUAACCAUCCUUAAUAUUUUAUGUUUUCAAUUGGAGAGGUGGUCCAUGAACUGUUUUAGAAGCCCCAAUAACAAUGAUGAAAAAACAAUCUGAAUCUUGUAUCAUCUGUAAAAUCCUACUGCUCAGGGUGAAAUAAUUCUAUUAAAUUAUGAGAA